RNAcentral lists this ribosomal RNA (246 nucleotides) under uncultured bacterium. RNAcentral describes it as "partial 16S ribosomal RNA". It matches the Rfam family "Bacterial small subunit ribosomal RNA", at positions 531 to 776 of the family's 1533-position model. The record is from RNAcentral.
GGGGCUAGCGUUGUUCGGAAUUACUGGGCGGAAAGGGCGCGUAGGCGGUGUGUCAAGUCAGGCGUGAAAGCCCCGGGCUCAACCUGGGAACCGCGCUUGAGACUGGCACGCUAGAGUUCGGGAGAGGAUGGUGGAAUUCCCAGUGUAGAGGUGAAAUUCGUAGAUAUUGGGAAGAACACCGAUGGCGAAGGCAGCCAUCUGGACCGACACUGACGCUGAGGCGCGAAAGCGUGGGGAGCAAACAGG